AACAAUUUGACUGAUGCGGAUCAGAAUCCGUUCAUAAAAAGUGGACCAGAAUGUUAUCAGUUUGGAUGAUGAGCAGCAGAAAACGUUGGUUCAUAAUGGACCUGCAUGUAAUCAGGAAAUGGGACUUGCUAAUUUGGAUGAUGAGCAGAAAACAAUAAAAAAACAUGGAGCAGCUUGUGAUGAGGAUUACACGUAUAUAAAGAUUCCUACAUUCUUCCUACGUUCUCUUUAAACCCAGGUAAAGCUUCUCUUUUUUAAUGUUUAUUUAUGUAGGGAUUGUGUAGAUAAAGCUUCUUCAAACUUUCAACAUCUUCACUACAAAGUCCACAAGAACUAGAGAAUUUUUAGGCAUAACCUUUUCUUAUUUAGGCAUACAAAUCUUAAUACUACAUGUUUUAGGCAUAAUAUGCGUAGACUGAAAGAAGUUAAACGC
Molecule: long non-coding RNA, 433 nt
Organism: Helianthus annuus (common sunflower)
Lineage: Eukaryota; Viridiplantae; Streptophyta; Magnoliopsida; Asterales; Asteraceae
Exons: 4
Source: RefSeq, a predicted model, not a curated record